This 253-nucleotide ribosomal RNA is filed under the name uncultured bacterium. Its description in RNAcentral is "partial 16S ribosomal RNA". It matches the Rfam family "Bacterial small subunit ribosomal RNA", at positions 524 to 776 of the family's 1533-position model. The record is from RNAcentral.
UACGGAGGGGGCGAGCGUUAUUCGGAAUUAUUGGGCGUAAAGGGCGCGUAGGCGGCUGAACAAGUCAAAGGUGAAAUCCCUCGGCUCAACUGAGGAACUGCCUUUGAAACUGUUCGGCUUGAGGCCGGGAGGGGGUAGCGGAAUUCCCAGUGUAGCGGUGAAAUGCGUAGAUAUUGGGAGGAACACCAGUGGCGAAGGCGGCUCACUGGACCGGAACUGACGCUGAGGCGCGAAAGCGUGGGGAGCAAACGGG